UACCCAGUGGGGAGGGGGGCCUUCAUGGGCCUGAAAUAAAAAUCUAUUUCUUAUUUAGCUUUUUUUCUCUAAGUUAUAACUGCAAUAAGAUAACUGAAAUUGUCUGAAUAAAUGAACAAACAUUCAGAAUUCCUUUCUGGAAAAAAUGUAGAGUCUGUCUCAAAGGCCCCUCUCCCCCCUUCUGAUUGAGUAGAAUGGUUUAGUCCGCCCCGCACCUCUCGAUCCUCUUGACUGAAUUGAUCUAUCAGCAGUCAUUCGAGUCAGGAGUGAGAGAUGUGGCCACCUGCAGAUUAAACCAGAUUAAGCCAAGAAUAUCGUUUUGUUCAAUUUGUAUUUUAUGCAUAAAUUCAUCAUAUGAAUCCCCUUCACAGAUACAAUUUUAUAUGACCCUAUUUUGUGAAAAUAUUACGCUGUAAAAAAGAGUCCACUUUGGAGCGAUAUUUAGCUACAGUAACACAUUUGAUAUCAACAGAUUAUUUGUAAACUGUCAAUUCAUAUGAUACCAAUGUUGUCGCACUAGCAGCAAAACUGAGUCCGCUACUUUUGCCCAAAAAACAAUAUUUUGAACUCAGAACAGAGAAGAACUAGCCUAUUAUAGCCUCAUUUUAAAGUGAUGGUAGAAUCUAAUUCAGAUUUAUUGUAUGUUUACAUUUUAUCAUUAAUGCCAGUAGAAUUUUUAAUUCAGUAAGCUAACCAAUAAGAUCACUUUAGACAAUAAAAGCCUUUAGAACAUUAACUAUAACAAGUUCAUAAUUACAAUAAUGCUGCUGGAAAUGUUUCAAAUGUCUGAAAGGUGCAAAUAUUACAAAGUUUAAAUUAUUUUUAAGCUAUGAGGAAAUAUUACAGUGAUGAUUUAUCUUCCAUUUUCAGGGUGUAAAACAAAGCCUAGUUGUUCAAAGUUUUUAUGGGUCAUUUGUGUGAUGGUCAUAGACAUUUUCUGGGUUAGUUUGGACCGUGGUAGGGACCCAAUGUGAUAUUUUUUCACGGGGCCCCUGGGUUAGAGUUUUAAU
Labrus bergylta (ballan wrasse) is the source of this 1010-nucleotide non-coding RNA. Lineage: Eukaryota; Metazoa; Chordata; Actinopteri; Labriformes; Labridae. The record is from RefSeq and is a predicted model, not a curated record.